AUUGAACGCUGGCGGCAGGCUUAACACAUGCAAGUCGAACGAGUGGCGGACGGGUGAGUAAUGCUUGGGAAUCUAGCUUAUGGCGGGGGAUAACUACGGGAAACUGUAGCUAAUACCGCGUACCAUAGGAUGAGCCCAAGUGGGAUUAGGUAGUGGGUGAGGUAAAGGCGCACCAAGCCGACGAUCUCUAGCUGGUCUGAGAGGGUGACCGGCCACACUGGGACUGAGACACGGCCCAGACUCCUACGGGAGGCAGCAGUGGGGAAUAUGGCGCAAUGGGGGCAACCUGACGCAGCCAUGCCGCGUGAGUGAAGAAGGCCUUCGGGUUGUAAAGUUCUUUCGGUAGCGAAGCGUUAACUACAGAGGAAGCACCGGCUAACUCCGUGCCAGCAGCCGCGGUAAUUC
RNAcentral lists this ribosomal RNA (405 nucleotides) under uncultured bacterium. RNAcentral describes it as "partial 16S ribosomal RNA". It matches the Rfam family "Bacterial small subunit ribosomal RNA", at positions 30 to 526 of the family's 1533-position model. The record is from RNAcentral.